AAAAUCCGUCGACUUUAGAAAUCGUGAGGGUUCAAGUCCCUNUAUCCCCN
RNAcentral lists this transfer RNA (50 nucleotides) under Wurmbea punctata. Its description in RNAcentral is "partial tRNA-Leu". Lineage: Eukaryota; Viridiplantae; Streptophyta; Magnoliopsida; Liliales; Colchicaceae. The record is from RNAcentral.